UACGUAUGGUGCAAGCGUUAUCCGGAUUUACUGGGUGUAAAGGGAGCGCAGGCGGCGCGGCAAGCCUGAUGUGAAAGCCCGCGGCCCAACCGCGGGACUGCAUUGGGAACUACCGGGCUGGAGUGCCGGAGAGGUAGGCGGAAUUCCUAGUGUAGCGGUGAAAUGCGUAGAUAUUAGGAGGAACACCAGUGGCGAAGGCGGCCUACUGGACGGUGACUGACGCUGAGGCUCGAAAGCGUGGGGAGCAAACAGG
Molecule: ribosomal RNA, 253 nt
Filed under: uncultured bacterium
Lineage: Bacteria
Description: partial 16S ribosomal RNA
Rfam family: Bacterial small subunit ribosomal RNA
Source: RNAcentral